AAGUCGUAACAAGGUUUCCGUAGGUGAACCUGCGGAAGGAUCAUUAACGAACUUGAAAUCGGGAGUCUGUUGCUGGUGCGGAAACGUACAUCGUGCACGGCUUCUGUGUUCAAUUCAACCCCUGUGCACCUCAUCGAAGCCGGUAGUCCCUUUAUCUUCUUCGUUUUGCCGGUCGCGUGCGGUGCGGAUUGCAAGUAGCGAGUAAGGCGAACGCAACUCCGGUUGUCAGUAGCUUGAAACCGAAAGUGGUCUGCCUUCACGUUCGGCCGGCGAGAGGGGGGAGAGGUCGAGGGUCGAAAGCUUUGACUUGCCAUUAAACGCUUUGUAUGUCUUGUGGAAUGUAUUAGCUCCUUCGUGGGCGAAAUAAAUACAACUUUCAACAACGGAUCUCUUGGCUCUC
RNAcentral lists this unclassified non-coding RNA (400 nucleotides) under Phellinus robiniae. Its description in RNAcentral is "partial internal transcribed spacer region". The stretch from base 1 to 46 matches the Rfam family "Eukaryotic small subunit ribosomal RNA", at positions 1786 to 1831 of the family's 1831-position model. The record is from RNAcentral. Lineage: Eukaryota; Fungi; Basidiomycota; Agaricomycetes; Hymenochaetales; Hymenochaetaceae.